AGGUUUUGUGAGAUGUUCAUUGAUAGACAGGACAAUCCAGUGACCAUCUCACAAACUCACU
This 61-nucleotide microRNA precursor is filed under the name Nautilus pompilius. RNAcentral describes it as "Npo-Mir-12508_pre stem-loop". Lineage: Eukaryota; Metazoa; Mollusca; Cephalopoda; Nautilida; Nautilidae. The record is from RNAcentral.